This is an RNA transcript of Abrus precatorius (Indian licorice), 3698 nucleotides long. It is a transcript of the gene named protein CHUP1, chloroplastic-like, with no coding region annotated. Lineage: Eukaryota; Viridiplantae; Streptophyta; Magnoliopsida; Fabales; Fabaceae. The transcript has 10 exons. The record is from RefSeq and is a predicted model, not a curated record.
GGAACAAAAAUCAUUGGAGAAACUUGUCUUUGUUCUAGUUUUAAUGUGGGAAAUUCCUUUUCAGUCAAUCUUGUUCCUCUGCUUGGGUUUAAGACUGGCUUCAAAAUAUUCUUGUGACCAGAUCUUGGUUACAUACUAGACCCACCCAUUUGUGAAUUUUGUCAAGAAAGUUCUUUGGGCCAAGUUUGUUCACUAGUUAGUUAUUGGUAGUGGCUGCUAAGUUAGUUUCAAAUUUGUGCAAGGAAUUCUACUUGUUAUGGUUAACUUUUUUGUGACUGAGCAGAUUUGGUUUCUCUCUGAAAGGUGAAACUUUGGAAAUUCCAUGGACUCUGCAUGUCAAUGAAGUUUCCAAAUCUUGGUUUUGCAUAGCUCUUGUACCUGGAUUUCUCUUUGGAAUCUUCUGUUCUGCCCCAGUUGUGGAUUCUGGGUCACUGGUUUCACUUUCAAAGUUCAAAUGGAGGUCGGGGGAAAUGGGUGAAGGGUGGUUCAAGAAAUGGGUAUAGUUUGGACAUUGAUGUCUCCUAUAGCCUCAUGAUAGUCAGGUUAGGAAUUCUAGUAGCUGCUUCCAUUGCAGCCUAUACAGUUAAGCAGCUGAAUGUGAAUAGCUCAAUAUCAGAUGGUGAAGCUAGGUUUAGAAAACAUCAAGAUGAGAAUAAAGAACAGGAGCAGGUCCCUUGUUCUACUAAUGGUCUCAAUGAGAAGAUUAGGGAAGAGGAAGAGCAAGAAGAGGAGGUGAAGUUAAUUAGCAGCAUAAUCAAUCGAACUAAUGAUUUUGAAGAUGAUAUUCCACCUGAACUUGAAAGCCUUCUAUCUGGAGAGAUUGAGAUUUCUCCAGUUGCUGACAAGACUGAUGAGGCCAAGAAAGACAGUGUUUAUGAAAUUGAAAUGGAAAACAAUGCUAGGGAAAUGGAACGGUUGCGGAAUGUAGUGACAGAGUUGGAGGAGAGGGAAUUGAAACUUGAAGGCGAAUUGCUUGAGUACUAUGGUUUGAAGGAGCAGGAAUCAGACAUUCUGGAGUUGCACAGGCAGUUGAAAGUUAAGGAUGUGGAAAUAGAUAUGCUCAAUAUGACCAUUAAUUCCUUGCAGGAAGAGAGGAAGAAGUUUCAAGAAGAGCUUGCACAUGCAGCUACAGCCAAGAGAGAACUUGAUGUUGCCAAAAGCAAGAUCAAGGAAUUGAAAAGGCAGAUACAGCUUGAGGCUAACCAGGCAAAAGCCCAGUUGUUGUUGCUUAAACAAAAAGUUGCUGGUUUACUAGCAAAAGAAGAAGAGGCUGUCAAGAGAGAUGCUGAAAUUGAGAAGAAAUUCAAAGCUGUGAAUGACUUGGAGGUUGAAGUUGUGGAGCUUAAGAGAAAAAACAAAGAACUUCAACAUGAGAAGCGAGAACUAACUGUUAAACGCAAUGCAGCUGAAUCUAGGAUCAUGGAACUCUCUAAUGUGACAGAGAAUGAAAUGGUUGUUAAGGCAAAAGAGGAGGUCAGUUGCUUGAGGCAUGUGAACGAAGACCUGAUAAAGCAAGUGGAAGGACUCCAGAUGAAUAGGUUCAGUGAAGUUGAAGAGCUUGUAUACCUUCGUUGGGUCAAUGCAUGCUUAAGAUAUGAACUCAGGAAUUACCAGGUACCUCAAGGAAAAUUAUCAGCCUGUGAUCUAAACACAAGUCUCAGCCCAAAAUCACAGGAGAAGGCUAAGCAGCUUUUGUUAGAAUAUGCUGGUUCAGAGUGUGGGGAAGGUGACACAGAACCUGAUAGCAGCUUCUCUCAUCCCUCUUCACCAGGCAGUGAAGAGUUUGACAAUGCUUCUAUUGAUAGCUCUACUAGUAAACACAGUAGUCUUGGCAAGAAAGUUAGCUUGAUCCAAAAGUUGAAGAAAUGGGGUAAAAGCAAAGACGAUUCUAAUGCUUUUUCAACACCAGCCAGAUUUCUUUCAGGCGACUCCCCUAGCAGGAUGAGUACGAGAAAUAGAACUAAGGGUCCAUUGGAAUCCUUGAUGCUAAGGAAUGCUGCUGAUACUGUAGCCAUCACUACACUUGGACAGAAAGAUCAGGAACCUACUGGUUCUCUUGAAACUCUUGCUCUUCCUAACAUAAGAAGAGUUUCAUCCAGUGACUCCUUAAAUUCUGUUGCAACUUCAUUCCAAUUGAUGUCUAAGACAGUUGUUGGGUCUCUGGAUGAAAAAUAUCCUGCAUAUAACGACCGCCAUAUAUUGGCCUUAGCAAGGGAGAAACAUAUUAAGGAAAAGGCUGAGAAAGCAAGAACACAGAAGUUUGGGGACAAUUCAAAUUUGAAUGUGACCAAGGCUGAAAGAGAGAGGCCAAUAUCUUUGCCACCAAAACUUACUCAAAUAAAUGAGAGGGCAUAUGUUUCUGGUAGUCCAAAUGAUUAUUCUGACAAUGCUAAGAGUGUCAAUAAUCAAAUCAUUAGCAAGAUGAAGCUUGCCCCCAUAGAGAAAAGGCCUCCUAGGGUGCCCCAGCCACCUCCUAAACCAUCUGAUGAUGCUCAUAUUAGUACAGAUUCAAACCCUUCUAAUGGAGUACCUUAUGCUCCAUUUGUGCCUUCACCUCCAGCACCACCAGGUGCACCACCUCCACCUCCACCUCCACAAGGAAGUCUAUCAAGAGGAGCAUUAGCUGGUGACAAAGUUCACCGCGCUCCGGAUUUAGUUGAAUUUUAUCAAACAUUAAUGAAACGGGAGGCAAAGAAAGACACUUUAUCAUUAACUUUUUCAACAACUAAUGCUUCUGAUGCCAGGAGCAACAUGAUUGGGGAAAUUGAGAAUAGAUCAUCAUUCCUCUUAGCUGUGAAAGCUGAUGUAGAAACACAGGGUGAUUUUGUAACAUCCUUGGCAAGUGAAGUUCGAGCAGCUUCCUUCUCUAAGAUUGAAGAUCUAGUGGCCUUUGUGAACUGGCUAGAUGAAGAACUUUCCUUCUUGGUUGAUGAACGAGCUGUUCUCAAGCACUUUGAUUGGCCUGAAGGAAAAGCAGAUGCACUGAGGGAGGCAGCUUUUGAAUAUCAAGAUUUGAUGAAAUUGGAGAAGCAAGUCUCCACCUUCACUGAUGAUCCCAAACUCCCAUGUGAAGCCGCUUUGCAGAAAAUGUACUCAUUGCUUGAAAAAUUCAUACUCUGCAAGUCACAGAUAGAACUUGACAUAUACUUGUUUAGUUUGAUGUUUCUUGAAUGGAACAAAGUGUAUAUGCACUCUUACGGACUAGAGAUAUGGCUAUUUCACGGUAUAAAGAGUUUGGAAUACCAGUAAAUUGGAUUUUAGAUUCUGGGGUCGUGGGCAAGAUCAAGCUUUCUUCUGUGCAGCUGGCGAAGAAGUAUAUGAAACAUGUUGCAUCUGAACUUGAUAUAUUAUGUGGACCUGAGAAGGAACCGGCAAGAGAGUUUUUGAUUCUGCAAGGUGUGCGUUUUGCUUUUCGUGUUCAUCAGUUUGCAGGAGGCUUUGAUAAAGAGAGCAUGAAGGCUUUUGAAGAACUAAGGAGCCACAUUCAUUCUCAAGCAGGUGAAGAUAAUACACCUGAAACGUAGAUGAUCAUCAAAAGAAUUUUUUUCUUCUUUCUAAUUUUUUUACACUAGUAGUUGCUUCUAACAUAUGUUACCUUUCUCAGCUGAAUGUGUCAUUCUUCUGGUUCAAUUUUCAUUGAAUGUACAUAUGCUUACUGAAUGUAACACAUAAUUAAAAAAUAAUCAUACUUGUUCGGU